Mirounga angustirostris (Northern elephant seal) is the source of this 6470-nucleotide RNA transcript. It is a transcript of the gene named MISP family member 3, with no coding region annotated. The record is from RefSeq and is a predicted model, not a curated record. The transcript is spliced from 3 exons. NCBI's taxonomy places the organism in Eukaryota, Metazoa, Chordata, Mammalia, Carnivora, Phocidae.
GCCGCCUGAGCCCAAGGUGACCGCCUUUCAACCGCAGCUGCUCCGCUAAGCCCUGGGCGCGCUGUGUCCGUCCCUCUUCCCUCAAUCUGGAAGUGCACUUGGCCGCGGGCGCCUCGAGGACUUUUCCAGGAGGGGUGAAGGGAAAGCAGCCUCUGAGCUUGACGCGGGCAGUGGCACACCUCUCGGAAAAGGCCUCGCUGAGCCCAGAAACCCGGAGGGAGCCUGGGGCGCGCCAGGAGAGGGCUCCUGGCGCCCCCUCCAGUCUGAGCCGUACGCUGCAAGGGUGGAAUGUGGAUGGACCGCCCCGAGGCCAGGGGCGUUGUGGCCCGCCGGCCUGGGCGGGGCUAGCAAGGCCCCGGAAAGAUGGCUUUGGAGGACACCAGCGCCAGAGGGCCAGCGGUUCAAAGGCCCAGCCCGAGGCACCGUUGGGGUCAAGCCUCCUGGGAAUGCCGGGGACGUGGGAGCGAAAAGGUGCCAGGGUGGCGCCCCGAGAGUUGAACGGCACCCAGACUUGUCUCCCAGCUGGCGGGCCGAGUCCAGGGAAAACCUCUUACAAGAAGUCUGGUGCCCCGAGCUGACCUGAGGCGCGUCAGAGCACGAAAUGCGGUGCCCUGCCGAGGCCCCCGUCCCCUCCCCGCCCCGAGGGCGGGGCCGUAAGUCUUCCCUGCAGGUGCAGGGGGCGGUGCCCGGCCCUGCCCCGGGGGGCCGUUCUUGGAGGCCAGGGGCGGGUCAGAGAAACGGCCGAGAUAGGCGACGCCUUGGAACCCGCGGGCGGUGACUGUGCCACAGGUGCCGCGCCGGGCACCGUGGUCUCAGCUCUGGGCAUCAAAACUCCGGCGCUGGAAACUAAGUCUUCCGAGCUGCUCCCAACCCUGGACACCGAGGCCCCCGGGCCAGAGAGCGGAGCCCUGGGGUCGUCCGAAGAGCGGGGCCCCGAGACCCCCGGGUCAGCUAAGUCCCAGGGCCUGCCGCAGAGCAGGACGCUGAGGUCCCCAGGCCAGGAGGCAAGGUCUCCGUGCCCUCCGCAGAGCAGGACGCGGAGAGAGCUGAGCAAGAGAGCGAAGUCCUUGGGCCAUCAGCGGGGCUGGACGCAGAACGCCCCGGGCCGUCUGCAGCUGGGGGGGUUUGAGAGUCUCCGGCCCGGCAACCACGACCCCGAGCCGUCUAAAGCGCGAAGCGCGGGGUUCCCGAAGCAGUGUCCCCUUCAGGAUCCCUAGACCUUCUCCUCGGGGUCAGAUUCCGAAGGCCCCCUGCAGCAUUUUCUACUGCGCCCGAAGACCCCCCGGCAGGCCCCCGAGGAGCCGUUCAUGGAGACGCCCAUCGAGCGAGAAAUCCGCCGCAGCUGCGAACGCGAGGAGAGCCUGCGCCGGAGCCGAGGCCUGAGCCCUGGCGGUGCAGGCCGAGAACUCGUCGAGCUGCGCGUGCGGCCGGUGCUCAGCCUGCCCAGCCCCGGCCCCGCGCUCCCGCGCGCCUUGGAGCGCGCGCGGGCGGGCGCGCAGAUGCAGCGAGACAUCGAGCGGGAGGCCCACCGUCAGGCGGCGCUGGCGCGCCCCGCAGCCCCAGAGCGGUGCGCCCGGCCGCCGCCGCCGGCGCUCGGCGAGCUCAAGCGAUUCUUUGAGGCCGCCGGGGGACGCGGCUCCUCGGCGGCGGCUGAAGGCGGCGCCGUCCCGCAGGGGCUGCCCGAUCCCGGAGGCCGGCCGCGCUCGGCCGUGCAGGGUCGGUGCCCGGUGCUGGCCCGCGCCCCGCCGCGGGUCGCGCGGUCGCUGCUGGAGCAGGAGGUGAGCGAGGCGCGUGAGCGCGAGCGGGAGCUGCAGCGCCAGCGGCUCAGCGUCUACGGCACCGCCGAGUUCAAGGAGCCCGCGCCGAGCCUCACGGGUUGCUCCCUCCUUCAGAAUGGAGGCUUCCAUGGGAAGCAGGGUAAACGCCUGUGUGUUUAAGGGGCGCGGCCGGCCUCCCUGGUCCUGGCCGCCUCCAGCUGGUGACAGGAGGGGCAACCCCGGCUGAGCGCCCCUUCCCCCGCAGCGAGCAGGGGCGACGGAAAGCUGGCGGUGACCUGGCCUCCCCGCAGAAAGGCGUCUGAGAGCGGCUUGGAGCAGGAGGAGCGGAAGCCUUGAGGUUCCAGCAGGCUGGGACCCCCUGCCAGAGGUAACAUGCAUAUCAGAGGAAACUGGUAGGGGUGCCCAGGAGUGCUCUCGGAAUCCACUGAAGGCCUGGAAGAGGGCCAGCCGUCUGCGCUGGGGAAGAUGAAAUCGACCAGCUCCUCCUUGAACCUGACUGUGAAAUUGACCAGUCUCUUCUAUAAAACUGUUAGUCCCGGCUGGGAAACACUACGAUUCUCAAACCGCCAGUGAAACUGUUCAGCCCUCCUCCGCCUACCUGCAAACCCAACUGGCCUCUCCCUCUGGCCUUUGCGAUUAGAGGGCCAGGGUCUCCGCCUCGGCUACCCUCACUCCCCAGUAAAGCCCCUUCUUUCUGGGCAGUUCAGGCUGUUUUCCUCUGGGUCCCUUCGUCUGGGCUGCGGCUGGAGCGCGCCUGGCGGAGGAAAGCCUGAGAAAGCUGCAGGAGGCGCGGGCCAGAAUACAGAAUGUACCCCUUAGCGCCCUGUUCUGGGGCUGCUGGUCUCCCCCGGCCCGGCCCGGGUCUUGGUGCCCCCUGGCGGCGCGGGAGCGAACUGCGGCGUUCGGACAAAUGAGCUCAAGCCCUUCCUUUUUCCAGACCUCGUCAACAUUUAUUGGUGCCAACUGCACGCCCGGAGCCGGGCGCGGGCUAGACAGAGGUGAUAAGAGGUUGUUCCUGCCCUGGGGACGUAAACAAUAGCUACUAAAAAAAGGCGGUGGUGGUGAAGGGUACAAGCUUCUUAGCAGGGCAUACAAGGCCAUUUAUAAUCUGUCCAGCUAUCGCAAACUUCACAUGCCCUAUAGACCCCAGACAGAUAUUGAGAGAAAUGGGGUGUGCUUUAAAAUGCCUUGUUUCAACGGGCAGGUAAGUGUUCCUCCAUAUCAGCAGUACUACAAAUGAGUGAACUCAGUGGUGCCAGAGCUUCUGAUUUCCAAAAGCACAUGGGUGGGGUGGGGGGGAAACCCAGCCUUUAAAAGAGAAAUCUAGGGGACCCCGGGGGGUUCAGACCGUUAAGCGUCUUAGGUUCAGGUUAUGAUCUGCGGUCUGGGGAUCGAGCCCCAUGUCUGCCUUCCCACUAGGCAUGGGAGUCUGUAUCUCCCCCUGCCCUCCCCCUGCACACACACUCUCUCUCUCAAAUAAAAUCUUAAAAAAAAAAAAAAAAUCUGAACUUUAAACGUGACUUUUGGGGCGCCUGGGUGGGUCUGUUAAGUGUCUGCCUUCGGCUCAGGUCAUGAUCCCAGGGUCCUGGGAUGGAGCCCCACGUCGGGUUCCCUGCUCAGCAGGGAGCCUGCUUCUCUCCCUCUGCUGCUCCCCCUGCUUGUGCUCUCUCUCAAAUAAAUAAAAUAUUUUAGGGGUGCCUGGGUGGCUCAGUUGUUAAGCGUCUGCCUUCCGCUCGGGUCAUGAUCCCGGGGUCCUGGGAUCGAGCCCCGCAUUGGGCUCCAUGCUACACGGGGAGCCUGCUUCUCCCUCUCCCACUCCCCCUGCUUGUGUUCCCUCUCUCGCUGUUUCUCUGUCAAAUAAAUAAAAUCUUUAAAAAUAAAUAAAUAAAUAAAACAUUUUAAAAAUGUGACUAGAAAACUUUUUAAAUUGGGUGUGGGGCACAGGAGGUGCAACAAGCAGCACCUGUUUGCAAUAGAGCUCGUAGCUGUCAACUGUCAAGCCCGCCUUAAUUUCUCUCCCAAGCCCUCAAUUUCUCUCCCAAGCCGAGGUUCAAGCCCCCCUUUCAUGGGGUUCAAGAGAGUCUGUGAACACCCUAAGUUGAAUAAGUGUAUCUGUGCAGUUUUAUUCUGUGGUUUUAGGGUACAAGCUUCUUAGGCGGGCACUGAGACCCAGAGAAGACCCAGGAAUGUUUUAGAAUCAUUGUUUCAACGCUUGGAUCUGUCCAGCUCUUUAUGCCCUGGGUCUAGCAACAGGCUUGAUUCUCCAUAGGGAGGACAAGUAGCUAAUGAAGAAUGAAAUAAUGCUCACACAGCAUUGGACCCCAAGAGAAGCUCAGUCUAAAAACGAAGCACCUGGGGUGCCUGGGUGGCUCAGUCGUUAAGUGUCUGCCUUCGGCUCAGGUCAUGAUCCCAGGGUCCUGGGAUCAAGCCCCGCAUCAGGCUCCCUGCACAGCCAGGAGCCUGCUUCUCCCUCUCUCACUGUCUCUCUCUGUCAAAUAAAUAAAGUCUUUAAAAAAAAUAAAAAUAAAUAAAAACGAACCACCUGAUCCCAGCAUCAGCACACUGAGUGCAUACUUGAUGGUGACUCUGCAGAGAAAGCAAAGAUCCAGCACUGUCAAGGUGGGAAAUGGAAACAGCCAGAGCUGAUUCUUAAUUCCCAGCAGGGGAGCUAAGAACGAAGCCUGUAGAGUUGACAGGACUACUAAAGUGUGGACCUGGGUUCUCAACCUUUCCUGCAAAUUGAAAUCACCUGAGGCACCCUUAUGUCGAGUAAAUCAGAAUCUGACGGGAAGCUUGGCCUCACUAUUUUUUUUAAAGCUCUACAGGUGCUUCCCACAUGGAGCUAAGUUUGCGAACCAUCAUGUAGGUAGCCUUAUGCUAGCAGUUCUCAAAGUGUAGUGCUUGGACCAGCAGCCUAAGGAUGGCUUGGGAACUCCUCACAAACGUAUUCUUGGGCCCCAUCCCAGACUUAAAAAUCAGACCCUCCACAUGAUUCCAUGCUAAAGUUGGAGAAUCAUGGUUAUCGAGAGUUCACAAGCAACAGGAUUCAGGAAAUCAAGCCUGUUUCCUUCCUCUCCCAGUACUGCCACCAUGCACCAGAAACCUUUGGGGUUUUUUUUAAGUUUUUAAAAAAGAUUUUAUUUAUUUGACAGAGACACAGCGAGAGACAGAACACAAGCAGGGGGAGUGGGAGAGGGAGAAGCAGGCUUCCUGCAGAGCAGGGAGCCUGAUGAGGGGCUGGAUCCUAGGACCCUGGGAUCAUGACUUGAGCCAAAGGCAGACGCUUAAUGACUGAGCCACCCAGGCGCCCCCAGAAACCUUUAGUUUUAAGUGGCCUUAAGGGAGACUGUCUAAAGCUGUGUGGCUGGUCUGAACUGAGAUGUGCUGUAAGCAUGAAAGACAUCAGAUUUCAAACUUACUACCCAAAAAGAACUAUCUCAAUAAUUUCUUGCAUUGAUUAUAUGUUGAAAUAAUAUUUUUGAUAUGUUGGGUUAAAUAAAAAUCACUGGGGCGCCUGGGUGGCUCAGAUGGUUAAGCAUCUGAGCCUUCUGCUCAGGUCAUGAUCCCAGGGUCCUGGGAUCGAGCCCCACAUCGGGCUCCUGGCUCAGCAGGGAGCCUGCUUCUCCUUCUCCCUCUGCCUCUCUCCCUGCUCAUGCUCUGUAUCUGUGUCUCAAAUGAAUAAAUAAAAUCUUUAAAAAAAAAUCACUAAAAUUAACGUGCUCUUAUUUUUUACCUUACCUUUUUUAAUGUGGUUACUAGGAUGUUUGAAAUUACGUAUGUGACUCGCACUUGUGGCUCAAUUUAAACUUCUUUUGGACCAAGCUAAAGAGUCUUCGUGUGUGUGUGUGUGUGUGUACUUAAAACCGUAUUGGGAAGCUUCAGAAUCCCCUUGAACUCAUUCAGACUAAACAAUCUUGAUGAAGUCAGAAAUUGUACCCCCCCCGCCCCCCAAAAGAUCAAGGGUUUUGGUGUCCAGUCGGGAUGAUUAAUUUUACCUCUCAUGUCCGUUUUUGUCAUCUUAAACUGGGGCUUGGAAUACUAAUGUGCCAGGGAGUUUUAGGUAAGUGAGUGCUUUGCUCAAAAACAUAAAGGUUAGGUCUCUCCUCUGACUCCAAAAAUGCUACAAGGAACGAAAAGGCAUGCCUGAAAGGGGGUAACUCGCAGAUGAGUGACUGCCGGGUCAGGAAGAACACCCUUCCUCUCGCAAGGGACCAGCUGCAAUCGGGAAGACCCGGUUCAGGUUCGAGCUCCGCCGCUUGCUCGCUGUAGCUUUGAAUAGGUGAGUUUACCUCUCUCAACCCGGGUCUCCUUUCCAGUCCAAGGUCGGAGUUAAGGUUAGAGAUCCCAAGCUGGAGUUCCUUACGGCUUUCCCACCCGGCGCGCCCCGAACACCCUGCGGAGUAAGACGACCUAUCCACUCCAUGACCCAAAAGCUGGAAGAGGAAGAUUUGACUCUGGCCUUUAGGAAACUGACCCCCGGCCCUUUCUGGGGCACGUCGGGAAAGUCUUUUCGGUAAAAAGAAGUCACUUCCGGGUCAAAAUACGAGAGUGGGCGUGGCUCCGGGGUCCCUUCCCCCAUUGGGCAUUGAAUUUCCCGGCUACCCAAAACUUGCGGUUUUUUGGGUUCCGGUUGUUGACAGGCAUUGCUACUUCCCUUUGAGCUUCAUGUGCGCCUCUGCGCAUGCCUUGAGC